Molecule: transfer RNA, 83 nt
Filed under: Bacteroidales bacterium
Lineage: Bacteria; Pseudomonadati; Bacteroidota; Bacteroidia; Bacteroidales
Also listed under: 2 other names
Description: tRNA-Leu
Rfam family: tRNA
About the family: Transfer RNA (tRNA) molecules are approximately 80 nucleotides in length. Their secondary structure includes four short double-helical elements and three loops (D, anti-codon, and T loops).
Source: RNAcentral
GCGCUUGUGGCGGAAUUGGUAGACGCGCCAGACUUAGGAUCUGGUGACUCACUGUCGUGAAGGUUCGAGUCCUUUCAGGCGCA